GACUGCAAUGAAACAUUUAAAUACUACUUUUUGAGCCAGUCACUGCAGCAGGAUGAAUCCAAGAUGUUACAGACAGAUGUGAAACCUUUCACCUGCAACAGGUACCUGUAGUAUGCCAAACUGGUACUUCCAACUAAUAUCCACCAUUUGUUUGUAUAGUGCAUGAUAUACAGCGAGGAGGCACACUGCACAUUUUGAGGACCACGUAUGGAUUCAUGGAGGACUUAAUGAUAAUAGAAAAUUAACUACCAGUUGUUCAAGUUGAGUGCUACUGAAGUGAACAAAAUGUCACGGGUUUGUGUUAACAGUGCAGACAUAUUUUGCUAUGUGUGUGGAGAAGUGACAUUUGCUUCACAAAAACAGCAAAUAACUCCAAUGAUUAAAAAAGCUUACAGUUGUUAUUUUGAGCGCAAAAUAGGUGAUCAGGAUAAACCCUGGGCUCCACAUGUGACCUGUAACACUUGUGCCACCAACCUCAGGAACUGGAUGCAUGGGAAAGGAUGUUCAAUGCCCUUUGCAGUGCCCAUGAUCUGGCGUGAGCCAACUAACCAUGUCAGUGACUGCUACUUUCGUAUGGUUCCUCCUAUCAAGAAGGGAAUAUCUAAGAAGAAGAAGCGGACAGUGAUCUGUCCUAACAUUCCAUCUGCUAUACAUCCAGUUCUACAUGGGGAAGGAUUGCCAAUACCUGAAUCACCGACAGAGUAGGAGAUUACUUCUGACGGGGAUUCUGAAUGUCCUGAACUGUGUACAUCAGAAGAUCCAGAGUUCCUUCCAAAUAUAUCAUCAACUAAUGAUCCACAAAAAUUGUCUCAAAAUGAUUUAAGUGAUCUCAUUAGAGAUUUGGAGCUCUCUAAAGGCUCUCUAAGGCUGAGAUUUUAGCAUCAAGAUAGCAGCAGGUGCAAUUUUCUGGAAAGCAAUGUACAUGUUUCAUUCUACUGCAGAAGAGAGCAACAAUAAACUCCUUCUUUUAACAUGCAAUAUAGUCUUGAGGCAUGAGUAGACAUAAAUGGUCUAAUGAAGGCUCUCAGAAUUAAUUACAACCCUGAUGAGUGAAGACUCUUUAUUGAUUCGUCAAAGUUGAGCUUAAAAGCAGUGCUUUUACAUAGUGGUAAUAGCUUCCUUCUAUUCCAGUUGGGCGUAGUGUGCAUAUGAAAGAGUCAUACCAAAACAUGAAUAUUUUACUAGCAGCCAUCAAGUAUAGUGACUCUCAAUGGCAGAUUUGUGGUGACUUGAAAGUGGUUGCACUGCUAUUAGGUAUGCAGUUAGGGUAUACUAAAUAUUGCUGCUUUCUCUGUGAAUGGGAUAGCCAAGCUUGUGCACCUCAUUACAGUAAACAUGAAUGGCCCACCAGAAAAUCUCUUCAACCAGGUAUGAAGAACAUUUAGAGUGAACCUCUAGUAAACUCUAAAAAGAUUCUGCUCCUACCUUGCACAUCAAGUUAGGUCUCAUGAAAAACUUUGUUAAGGGAAUGAACAAAGAUGGCAAUGCAUUUAAGUACUGAAGGCAAAAAUUCCCUUACUUAAGAGAUGCCAAAGUAAAGGAGGGCAUCUUUGUAGGCCCACAGAUUCGAGAGCCUUUUGGAGAUGAUACUAUUGAUGAAAUCAUACAAUGUGAUAGAAGCAUGCACAGGGAUGUUUUAAGAUUGUCUGUUUCCAGUUCUUAGGGAACAAAUGAUCAAUAAAAUACAAGGAGAUUGCAGAUAACAUGUUGUCAUCUUAUGAAAAAAGUGGUUGCAACAUGUCAUUGAAAUGCAUUUCUUACAUAGUCAUCUUGACUUCUUCCACAAAGAUUGUGGUACAGAAAGUGAUGAACAUGGGGAGCGAUUUCAUCAAGAUAUUGCCACAUUUGAGAAGAGGUAUGCCAGAAAGUGGAGCCCUGCUACUCGUAUUUUAACCAAUUACUGCUGUACUGUAAUAAGGGAUGUUCCCGAGUAUGUGUAUAAAUGUCAAGCCAAGUGAAAACGGUCAUCUUCUGAAUUUAUCUCUGAACAAAAUAUGUAAUUGUAUAUACUGUAAAUAUGGACAUUUAACAUUUGUAAUCCUUUAUAUAUAUUUGUGUCUAGUUAAUUAAAAAACUUUCAGUAAACGAAUGAUAUAUAUACUUAUAUGUCUAUCAUAUAGUGUAAGCAAAAUCACCUCAGCAUAACAUUAUUGCUAGUACAAAUGCGAUAAGAACAGUAUACUAUAUGAGUGUAGGGAAAAACCAAGUACAUUUUCAUGAUCAAAGUUCCAUCUUAUAUCAAGUAUGUCUCUAUCCAAAGAUCAAAAUGUAUAAAUCAAAUAUUCAAGUGUAUAUACCUAGGUGUGUAAAUUAGUGAUAACGUGUGGUCUAAGAAAAUAUGUGACAUCAGAAAUAUG
Molecule: long non-coding RNA, 2357 nt
Organism: Schistocerca cancellata (South American locust)
Lineage: Eukaryota; Metazoa; Arthropoda; Insecta; Orthoptera; Acrididae
Exons: 3
Source: RefSeq, a predicted model, not a curated record